UACGUAGGGGGCAAGCGUUGUCCGGAAUCAUUGGGCGUAAAGAGCGUGUAGGCGGCCAGAAAAGUCCGCUGUGAAAUCUCGAGGCUCAACUUCGAGCUGUCGGUGGAAACUGUCUGGCUAGAGUCCGGAAGAGGAGAAUGGAAUUCCUGGUGUAGCGGUGAAAUGCGCAGAUAUCAGGAAGAACACCCGUGGCGAAGGCGGUUCUCUGGGACGGUACUGACGCUGAGACGCGAAAGCGUGGGGAGCGAACAGG
This 253-nucleotide ribosomal RNA is filed under the name uncultured bacterium. Its description in RNAcentral is "partial 16S ribosomal RNA". It matches the Rfam family "Bacterial small subunit ribosomal RNA", at positions 524 to 776 of the family's 1533-position model. The record is from RNAcentral.